This 84-nucleotide transfer RNA is filed under the name Porticoccaceae bacterium. RNAcentral describes it as "tRNA-Tyr". It matches the Rfam family "tRNA". From Rfam's summary of the family: Transfer RNA (tRNA) molecules are approximately 80 nucleotides in length. Lineage: Bacteria; Pseudomonadati; Pseudomonadota; Gammaproteobacteria; Cellvibrionales; Porticoccaceae. The record is from RNAcentral.
GGGGAGGCUGAGCAUAGGUGAGCUCAACAGACUGUAAAUCUGCCGUCUAAGACUGUGGGGGUUCGACUCCCUCUCUCCCCACCA